Molecule: long non-coding RNA, 3485 nt
Organism: Hemicordylus capensis (graceful crag lizard)
Lineage: Eukaryota; Metazoa; Chordata; Lepidosauria; Squamata; Cordylidae
Exons: 3
Source: RefSeq, a predicted model, not a curated record
UUGACCUUGCUCAGAUCUGCUAUCAUGGACCUGUGAGAAUUUCUUCUCCUUAUCUUUUAAGCAGAACAUUUGCAGACUUUGUUAGCUUGUUCUCACAAAAAGACUGAGAAGGUGGAUAACUCCCCUGGUCGGCAUUUUUUUAUUUGCUCUGAGAACAAUGGAGUUUAAAUUAACUAUUUCUUUUCUCUCUGGGAAGAAGAGUUUUUAUUACGUUAACUAUCAGCCAUUAAUGGAUAUGUAUUAGUCUGGUCUCUUAGUUUUUAGAGCCUUUUAUUAAUUUAAAACUAUACUUUUAGGUCAGUGAAUGUAGAAUCUGUACAAGCACCACAAUCAAAUGGUUCUGACUGUCUACAUUGGGCUUGAAUACUGAUAGAAACCACAACUGUAGUUUCCGCAUCUUCAAUCUUGUGAACGGCAAUGUUGAUUUGCAAGACAUAAUGAGCACCAACUGUCUUUGAAUGCGAUAGGCCCAUUUUCUGGUUGAGCUUGGAAUUCCAGGACCAUUUCCUUGAUGGUUUCGUAACGGUCCUUUAGCAGGUGUUGGGUCUGGGUGUUGGAGGUCUCGAUACUGACACACUCGGCGUUGAAGACCUAGAAGUUGGUGUGGACUUUGAUAUCAAGCGAGUCGACUGGAGUCCGGAUGGAGACAGCAUCGACUUUGAGAGCCAUAGCCAUUCUGUCCUCCGGGUGCGAUGUGUGUCUCUUGCAAUCCAAUCUUGGAGUGGAGCCAUGAAGAGGUCUGAACACCAGGGUCGGGGUUUUAGACCAUUUUAGUUGUACAGACCCAAGCCGAAUGCCCCAAUGUUGAUGCAUUUGAUGUAAAAGUGGUUUCAGCUUUUGGUGUUGACUUUUGGUGUUGACUGAUUCAGGGCGUCACCAUACAGCGUAUCACGCAACCUGAGAGGCCCAUUAUAAAUAUAAUAAUUAAUCAUCAUCAUCAUCAUCAUCUAGUUUGCUUUGAAAAAGACAUGCAUAUCUUGCAUGCCAAAGUAUUAUUUUGCGCCCCAAGGUAGAUCAGCCAGGAAUCAUGCCUAUCCUGGGAAGGCAACUUGGUUCCACAUUUAAAAGAUUUCUUCUCUAUUUUCGAAGCCAUGUCCAUUCCGCGUCUUAGCCCACAAAUAGUCCGUUUUCCGAAGAGUAGUCAAAACCAGUCUGAUAGUCAAAAUCCUCACAGAAAAACCAAAGAGUAGUCAAGAAACAGUUUGGGUCAGAGGAAAUAAUAUACGACUCUCUCUCUCUCUCUCUCUCUCUCUCUCUCUCUCUCUCUCUGAAACAAUAUACUACUAUACUAUGUGUGUGAUCGCUACGGUGGUUGAAAAGGAACUAACGAAGUGUGCCCAGCCCCACCUUUUAUACUCCCAUGAUAAGCACAUGGGGGCAGAGUCUGGAUGCCAAGAGGAGCGAGAGCACUUGGCUGUGAGGUUCCUGAGCAGGCGCAGUACCUAUUCUUAUGCGUUACAAUGGAUCACAAUCCAUAUAUGCUAGUACUGGUGGCACUGGAUACUUUGUAUUCAUCCAGCAGACCUUUCUGUUUAAACGGUAAGACUCCAUAACAGAUCACAGAAUGCAUUUAACACUGUGGAGUUUCAUAUAACACUGGACUGGAGGUGGGAAGAAUAUGGAUUUUGCUCCUUGAGAAACAAGUCCAAAUCCUUACAAGCAGAGCUAGGUGUGCCAUUCCUAAUAUUUGCAAAGUAGUCUUGAAUAGCUGUGACCAUUAACACAACCCUACCUAUAUUUCAAGGACAUAGCUUCUUUCUAUUUCCAAGUCUCUUUGAAAAGGAGAAUGCUUUGCACAUGUAGAGAACAUCAGUUAAUCACUAUUUAAAAAGAUUAAUGGAAUUUUCAUUACUUUGAAACUGUAUUUCUGUCCAGCUCAAUCAAAAAAUGUACCUUAAACAUUACAUUGAUUUCUUCUCCCAAGGGAUCUACAUUCACCAAAGCAACCUUCAGAGGCACUGCAUUAGAACUGAAGUAGGAACAUGUCUGUCAAGACAGUUUACAUUAAAUUACCACAGGAUUAGGAUUACUGGUAACAACACCACAAAAAGGUUGUAGGCAGAUUUCCAAGUAUGUUUCAUAAAAUAAUUUUCAGUAGCAAUGAAAAAAAGAGAACCAUACAGGAUACUAUGGUUUACCAGUGCCAACUCAUGACAUUAGCCAAUGAUGAUACCCACUUCUUUCCCUCCCCUCUCCCCUGUCCAACCCCUGCUAUUAAAACCACACUGCUUUCUUCCUCCUUUCAAAUCUCAACAGCUUUCUUAUUGGGAAGGGAAAAGGAAAAGCUGCAGUGUGCCAUUUGCCUUCCUUCCUCAGCAGGCCCGCCAUAGGAUGGCUGCUGGGUGGGCUACUGUGCUGCCCUUGAGAACUUGCCCACAGUCUGCCACUUGAAGUGGCCCUCUUCACACUGCUUCAUAGUAGGGCUGGUCUUAAUGGUCCAAAUUAAAAGAAGGGUUUAUGGUGGGAUUCCGCCCCCCGCCUCCACAGAUUAUUUUCAAUUUCUAAUGGUUUUACAGAGAUGCUGUGGAAUUGGAAUAAGAUGAUUUAUAACAGUAUAUACCUUUACUUGUUUGUAUACCUAAUUCCUAAAUUUCAAUGUUUGUUUUAAAACAAAUGAUACAUCCAGCCUUCAUUGUUGCAAGAAUUUUUUUUUGCAUAAGAAUGUGGUUUUGAACAAAUUCCUAUUCCUUCCCCAUGACUGUGAACCCACCCUCACUUCUUCAGCAUUUUAGUAGUUGUCAAAAUUAUGAAAUUUGAAGACACAAGUACUGCAGACAAGUGCAGCCAUGAAAUGAAGUUGUAUUCAGAUAUCCAGAAUUUAUCUUAUUUGUGUAUUCUUUAGCUUUUUCAAAGUACAUACCCCAAAUCCCCAUAUAUAGAAUUUCAAUACAACAUCCCCGAGCCAUGGUAGCUAAAUGGGACCUCCCAUAUUCAGAUGCAAAAUAUCUGCGAGUACCAAGUGAUGGGAACAAAGAGUAUGCUCUUGCCUUCAUGUCCAGCCUGUGAAUUUGCCAGAGGCACUUAGCUGGCCCCUAUUAGAAACAGAAUGUAGGUCUAGAUGGCCUGUUCCAGUAAGCAAGUUAAGUUCUUAUCUUCCUUUUACAGAUUCAAAUUCUCCUUCAAACAUUAAAGUUUCUACCCAUCUACAUUAAUUGCCUUGCAUGGAGGAUGGUGCUAAAAGAUGGUUGAAACUGCAUCCUUUUGAUAUUCCACCUUCUGGUGAUUCUUGCAGCAAUUAUUAUAAUAUGUAGAUAUGUAGUACACUAGGAAAAAAUAGAAAUUUAGACAUGCCAUACCUUUACAUUCAGUUCUUUUGCGACAAGGCUGGGACUGAGAGGCAAACGGCAUUUGUUUUUUAAGAAAAAGGACUGAACACGUUCCAUUCCAUUUUGCAAGACGGUCUGUUAAUGAACAAUGUAGAAUUAAAAAUGUAAGUGAGAUACUGAGAAAUGUUUUUGUUUAAGUGUAUUUUUAGUAAUACAGGC